Molecule: ribosomal RNA, 253 nt
Filed under: uncultured bacterium
Lineage: Bacteria
Description: partial 16S ribosomal RNA
Rfam family: Bacterial small subunit ribosomal RNA
Source: RNAcentral
UACGUAGGGGGCAAGCGUUGUCCGGAUUUAUUGGGCGUAAAGAGCGUGUAGGCGGUCAGAUAGGUCCGUUGUGAAAACUCGAGGCUCAACCUCGAGACGCCGAUGGAAACCAUCUGACUAGAGUCCGGAAGAGGAGAGUGGAAUUCCUGGUGUAGCGGUGAAAUGCGCAGAUAUCAGGAAGAACACCCGUGGCUAAGGCGGCUCUCUGGGACGGUACUGACGCUGAGACGCGAAAGCGUGGGGAGCGAACAGG